This 1753-nucleotide long non-coding RNA is filed under the name Mytilus galloprovincialis (Mediterranean mussel). The record is from RNAcentral. Lineage: Eukaryota; Metazoa; Mollusca; Bivalvia; Mytilida; Mytilidae.
GUGACUGUAUAAGAUGAGACAGACGAAAUACAAAACAGUGAAAACGUUAGCUGUUAUAUUAGUGGGAUUAAUGAUGGUAAAGAUAUUUAUUCCUGAAAUGUAUGUACAAAUGAAUACGAAUACUAUUAGUUACGCAAUGUAACCUAAUACGAUACAUGCAUGAUCAGUACAUUCUAUAUAGAACGUCUCAAAGCGAGCGAAGCUCAAGCCCUGUAUGGAAUUUACUGUCAUUGUAUAUAUCAUGUUUGGUCACUAGCACAAUGUAUAUCGAAUUUAUCUUAUAGACUAUCUAGUAACAUAAAUAAGACAGUAAGUAAAUUAAAUGGUUGUAAACUUUUACAAUUUUAACACAAAUGUCCACAGAAUAUUCAAUUAUUUAAGGUACAUUGAUGGUAUACCGCCAUCUUGGAUUGUACUAACGCACUAACAAUCAGUCUAGGAAUCUGCCCAAAUCUGCAAAUUUGUAGACAGAUGUGCAAUUUUCUUCGUUAGACUGUUUAUUUAUAUAAGGGAAACUUGCUGAUUUAUUGCAUUUUCCGAUAUAUUUAAACAAAUACCAAACAUUUGUGUUUUAGAAUUAUAACUCUUUUAGUAAAGAAAUAUUCUGGUCUGAUAGGACAAUUUUUAAUUUUUACAAGAUCUGUUACAUCAUUUUUUCUUUUUAUCUUCUUAAAACACAUUUUUAAACCUAUCUUCUCACUAUUUAUUUCAAAAUUCUAGCUUAAAGACUUCUUUUUAUGCACAAAAAUGUGUUUUUGGAUGAUCAUUCUAAGCAAAUUUAGGCAAUUUUCAACGACUCAUAGCUUGAAAAAUAGCACGGUGGCCCAUCCUUUUUAUUAUAUUUUUGAAAGAUCAUAGAAAAAUCUUCAUUUUAGCAAAAUUUAAAAAAAAUCUAUCUCGGGGAAACUUAUACCUUAAAGUGAAAAAAAAAAUCAUGGGCUCUAAGACAUGAUUUGUUUACAGCAUGAACAUGUCAUAAUUAUGUAUUUUUACAAUAAAUGAUACUUUGAGACUAACAUCGUUUUUUAUUGUUAAAGUCGAACGUAACUCUACCACUCUCCGUGUAUUGAUUUUAUAAAGUGACAUCCCACAACUAAUAACCGUUUAUUAGAAUAAAACACGCCCAGUUACCAUAAAAAAAAUGAUACACACGAACUCCACGUGCACGUGUACGCUUUUCACCUGAAUAUGACAGCUUUACCGAGUGUGAAUGACUUUGCCUUGCUACACGACGUGUCUCGGUAUUUUGUACAUUCAACAUUCAUGUAUUUAUUUUUGAUGUUUCUGUUAUGAAAUAGUCUUACUGUAAUACAAAAAUAUUAACUCUGUUUUAGGCAUCAACUUUCAAUUUCAUGUUCACCGAUUUGAUCUGAAUUCUCAUUUAUGAUGCAUUUCGUGUGUAUUUUGAACUAAACAGUGUUUAAGGAUUCAUCUCUUAAACUGCCGAUGUUCAUAUAUCCCGCUAUAAACAUAAACAAAAAUAUAAAUUGACAGUCAAACCAGUGCAACCGUAUCAAACGAUUUUUCUAGGUCUGUUUAAUUUAAUUUUAUAUCUAAAAACAUAUGUGUAUCAUCGUUUUUCCUCAUCGUAAGAUUAUUAUAGUCUUUUGGGGCAUCUUCAGUCAAAUAAAUUUAAUUUAUUUUUUAGGCAUAGUGCUUUAGAUAACAAAGUUGAAAGAAACCAAAUUGAACUGAACUUUAAUAACAACAGUCACAAAGAAAGACAGGAAUCUGAAAGGAGUAAAGAGGGGAG